GAUUUUGGGAGCAUGUACCUGGUCAUGCCUUUUGUUGCCUCUCAGUUCCGGUAAACUAAAGAACCAUAGAUGGAGAUGCAUUUCCUUGUCUAGUGCACACUUGUAUACGUGCUAGAAUAGACCAGGAGAUUCUUGGAGCUGCCUUUUUUACUUAUAAUGUGCUACUCUUGGACCAACUGAAUCCUACUGCAAUUCUCCAUGGAUAAUCAGUAGCUUGGUAAUAUUCGUGCAGCCCGUUUGUGAGGGCAAACAUUGCUGAAGUGUAAACACAAUGCAUUGCACGAUAUUUCUCUUGGGAAAUUAGCGCAACAUGGACACAAAUUCAAUGAAAAGUAUAGGGGCAGAUGAUCUGUGAGUUUCUGCAAAUGCAGAAGAAGCAGGUGCAGGACUGAAAUUUUACAUCCAUCUGAGUUUUUCUUGUGUUCACAAGGUUGCAGUCUUCUUCUGCCACUGUUCCUGUCGGCAACAUCAGCAAGAAAUCAAAUAUGGCCAGGAAAGUUCCUUCGCUAUUUGGAAAUGACAGUGACGAGUAGGCCUAAUCUUUCCUUGCCUGACAUGAUGACACACACACAUAAGGGGAAAUGUCCUCCCUGUAGGUUCCCGUAUACUAUCCCCGAGAACUUGUCAUUAUGGUACGCGUUAGCGUGUUGCUUUUCAAAUGGAGGGCCACUUGGCCCAGCUUUAUAAAUAAAGCAACCACCACUAUACAAAGUGUAGAGAUCAGAGGCGGCGGCUAACCUUGUGGGUGGAAGCUCACUCUCUAUUCUGUCUAGGGUUACACGGUACUGAGGUGAGAAUAUAUAUAGCUCAGCCACAUACACAGCAGAUGGGCCACAUGGGCCAGAAACAUAAAGCCCAGUAACGGUUCAACACUCCCCCUCAAGAUGGGUGAUAUAUAUCUAUCAUCCCCAUCUUGUCACAAGCCAAGUUGCAUUCCUUUGUUCCUAGUCCUUUUGUUAAACAAUCUGCAAUCUGCUGUCUAGUGUUCACAUAAUCAAUCUUGAUAAUUCCAGCAUCUAAUUUCUCCUUGAUAAAGAACCUGUCAAUCUCUAUAUGUUUGGUUCUGUCAUGUUGGACUGGAUUGUUUGCUAUAUAUAUUGCUGACUUGUUAUCACACCAAACAUUUAAAUGACCAUCUCUUAGCACCUUCAGCUCACGUAAGAGAUUUUUUACCCAUAGCAUAUCACUCAAUCCUUCAGACAUGGCACGGUAUUCAGCUUCAGCGGAUGACUUUGAUACAACUUGUUGCUUUUUACUCCUCCAUGAUACUAGGUUACCUCCAACAAAUACACAAUAUCCUGAAGUUGACCUCCUGUCAUCAAGACAACUUGCCCAAUCAGCAUCACUAUAACCAUCUAUUACUAGAUGUCCAUUACUUCUGAACCAUAACCCUUUUCCUGGAGUUCCCUUUAGGUACCUCAGAAUUCGAUGUACUGCAUCUAGGUGACCAGUCCUUGGUUCAUGCAUAUAUCUACUUACAACGCUCACUGCAUAAGCAAUGUCUGGCCUUGUAUGACAUAAAUAUAGCAACCUUCCUACAAGUCUUUGAUAAGUUUCCUUUUCCACCAAUUCUCCA
Molecule: non-coding RNA, 1576 nt
Organism: Lolium perenne
Lineage: Eukaryota; Viridiplantae; Streptophyta; Magnoliopsida; Poales; Poaceae
Source: RefSeq, a predicted model, not a curated record